This 196-nucleotide unclassified non-coding RNA is filed under the name Cortinarius saniosus. Its description in RNAcentral is "partial internal transcribed spacer 2". Lineage: Eukaryota; Fungi; Basidiomycota; Agaricomycetes; Agaricales; Cortinariaceae. RNAcentral also lists the same sequence under 1 other name. The record is from RNAcentral.
AUAUAUAUCAACCCUCUCUCUUGUAGUGAGUGGUUUGGAUGUGGGGGUUUUGCUGGCCUCUUUGAAAAAAGGGCUCAGCUCUCCUGAAAUGCAUUAGCAGAACAAACCUGUUCAUUGGUGUGAUAACUAUCUGCGCCAUUGAAUGUGAGGGGCAGUUCAGCUUUCUAACAGUCCUUCGUUGGACAAUUCAUCAUUA